This 22382-nucleotide long non-coding RNA is filed under the name Ananas comosus (pineapple). Its description in RNAcentral is "long non-coding RNA (ACOM_LNC002009)". The record is from RNAcentral. Lineage: Eukaryota; Viridiplantae; Streptophyta; Magnoliopsida; Poales; Bromeliaceae.
GUGUACAUCUACUCCAUCAUAGUCCGAUAUGCCAAUACAUGACUAAUAUGUCCCAACAUAGCAAACAAGUAUGCUAUAAUGCAAUAAGCAAUACUUUCAAGUACACUACAUGUCCAAAUACCCAAUAAAUCCAACUACUAUGAACUGUCUAGUAGUGAUUAUUACUUAUAUGACUCCGUGUCGAUUUUCAUUUCCAAUUAAGGACCUACACAAGGUAGUCCGGCUUGUGCCGCCUAAGUGCCCGUAGUAGCUCCAGCAUUCCUACUCGAGGAAUGAGUCUAUCCCGCCAGGCCCCCGUAGGCUUCUCAAUACCGCACGAGGGAUCAUAAGUCGCGUAGGCUAACUCUAGAGUGCCAGCUCGUAGGGAGUGACCCUCACAAGUAUGUGCGAAUGAGCACAAAUGGCAAGCAAGCAUAGUUAUCGUCUCAAGAACCCGAUCAUCAUGUCUCUAACAUGGUAAUAGCCACUAGCAACCUAACGGUUUAGUUCUAUGUCUCAAUGUGAAGUUCCGAUAUUCACUAAGUCUAGUGCCUCUUUAUGACACUAGCACAUUGCUAUACCCAAGCUUAUUUCAAAUUCAAUGCCUCUUCGUGGCAUUAAUUACUAGGUUCACACAUAACCCAAGCUCAAUAUCGCUUUAUGAUAUUAGCUCACUAAUUCACAUAUCAUUCUAGUCUAAUGCCUCUUUAUAGCAUUUUACUUGCUCUUAUGUCCAACAUGAGAAUUAUAUCCAAUAGUACAUUACACUUAUCAUUUUUACUAUAUGAAACAUGAUCUUGAGUCAUAUCUAGAAUGCUAGUCACAUGCAUAAGCCAAACCUAAAAACCCUCUACUACAUAGGGGUCUAAAUAUACAUUGUAUAUAAUAUAUGCAUUCUAAGCAUUCUAAAAUUUACAAAUAAUGCAUCUAACACAAAUAUGCAUGAAAUUCCACUUUACGACGAGUAAAACCACCAUAGAGGAAAUUUUAUCGCAUUUGAUGAGGCCAAACCCACCUAGAGCUCCUCGGAACCCUUCGUUUCGCCGAACGAAGUUGCCCACAACUCUCCUAAUACCCUAAAGGUAGGAAAAGGAGAGUUACACGAACGUUACGAACAAUACAUAGGUCGAUCUUUAACCAAAUCACAAAACGGGGCAAAACUCACCUAAGGUGGUGAUAGUCUCUCUCGAUCUCCAAAUGGGAGCUAGAACCCUUCCAAUCCAACCUAGAGAAAGGUUCUAACCCAAAAAAUCAAGCUCCAAAAGCCCUAAGUCCAAAACCCCCAAAUAAACCCUAAGUUUUCAUUUCUAGGGUUUCAACUAAAAUAAACCAUCAAAGCUUGAAUCUAGAGGAAGAAACAAGUUGCUAACCUCUUAGAAGCUUCUUUCAAGGAUCAAAGUCCACGAGAUUUGAAGAUCUCUCUCCUAUCAAGCUCCAAGCUCGAAGUCCAAGCUUCUCCCAAGGUGGAAAUUGCACCAAGAAGAAAAAGAAUGGAUUAAUCCACCAAAAUCCAUGCAAAAUGGAAUAUAAAUCCAAAAAAGGGAAGAGAGGAGGUCCCCUACCUUGCUCUGUAGUGUUUCCAAGCUCAGGAAACCAACAAGGGGCGUGGGAUGCAAUAUAGAGUAGCAAUAAUAGCAAUAACACCCCUCAAAAGCUGUCAAUUUGCAGUUUGGCAAAGUGUACCGGCACACGAAAAAGUGUACCGGUACAACUCCUCCGAAUGCGCAAACCCGAGCCUCGGGUUGGCCAUUAACCACAUGUGUACCGGUACAACCAUCAAGGUGUAACCGGUAUACUUUCUGUACUGGUAUAACCAUCAAGGUGUACCGGUACACAAUCCUGCAGAAAGCAACCCGAGAGAAGCCUAAGUCUCCACUUUGGUGACCUUAGCGCUACUUUAAAUACCUCAAUUCUCAGAAUAUGAACCAUAGGUCGGAGCAUUAUCAACGACCCUUCAGAAUACCAAGAAAAACUCAGAACACAGAUCAAACAUUCGAACCUCGCAAUUUACUAAGGUCCAGUGUGUUACAUUCACCCCUCCUAAAAAGGAGUUUCGUCCGCGAAACUUAAAAACAUAAUACCUCAAGACUCCAUCUAAAAAUGAUGGGGGUAGCGCUCCUGCAGUGCGCUCUCCAGCUCCCACGCGGCCUCCCGCUCAUCGUGGUUGCUCCAAAGCACCUUCACAUACGGAAUGUCGCGGUUCCGUAGCUUUUCACCUCGCGAGCCAAAAUCCUCAUAGGUCGCUCCUCGAAGCUCAAAUCAUCCCUCAGCUCCAACGGUGUAGCAUUCAAUACAUGAGCCGAAUUAUGGAUGUACUUCCGAAGGACCAAUACAUGAAAAACAUUAUGUAUGCCCGAUAGGUUUGGCGGUAAAGUAAGCCGAUACGCUACCGGACCUACACGCUUCAAAAUCUCAUACAGUCCAAUGAAUCGGAGGCUCAGCUUACCCGGGAUCCGAAAUCUCCUGAUCCCUCUGGUCGGCGAGACUUUCAAGAACACAUAAUCUCCAAUCUGAAACUCCAAGUCCCUUCGACGCUUGUCAGCAUAACUCUUUUGCCUACUCUGGGCUGUCAACAGUCGCUCCCGAGCAAUAUGAACCUUGUCCUCUACUUCCUGGAGCACAUCGGGGCCUAAAGCCAAUCUCUCCCCAACUUCACUCCAAUGAAGUGGCGAUCUACACUUUCGUCCAUAAAGUGUCUCGAAGGGUGCCAUCUUGAUGCUUGCUUGAUAACUAUUGUUAUAAGCAAACUCUGCCAUCGGUAGAUGCUGCGACCAUCCUCCCUGAAAGUCUAUCACACAGGCUCGAAGUAUAUCCUCAAGAGUUUGUAUAGUGCGCUCUAAUUGCCCGUCACUCUGAGGGUGGAAAGCUGUACUGAAAUACAAGCGCGUGUCCAAGGCAUCUUGUAAGCUUCUCUAAAAAUGAGAUACAUAACGGGGAUCUCGAUCCGAAACUAUAGAAGUAGGUACCCCGUGUAAUCGCACAAUCUCAUCAAGAUAUACCUAUGCGAAUCUCUCACCAGUCCAAGUAGUGUGAAUAGGUAUGAAAUGAGCCGAUUUCGUCAACCUAUCCACGAUCACCCAAAUAGCAUCAUGCCUGGCCUGUGAGGGAGGCAAUCCCAUCAUGAAGUCCAUGGUGAUCUUCUCCCACUUCCACACUGGAAUUGAUAAGCUCUGCAAUUUUCUCGCGGGAACUCGGUGCUCAGCUUUUACCUGUUGGCAAGUUAAACAUCUAGCAACAAACUCGCCAACAUCCUUUUUCAUCCCGGGCCACCAAUAAAGCAACUUUAAGUCCUUAUACAUCUUGGUGCCUCCCGGAUGUAUAACAUAGGGUACACGGUGUGCUUCUUGCAGAAUAUCCUCUCUAAGUGUCGAUUCCACCAGUACACAAAUCCGCACGCGGAAACACAUCAAUCCAAGAUCAUCCACGAUAAAAUCACCGGGGCAACCUUCAACGAUUUUAGCUUUAAUCUUUUGCAAUUUCACAUAGUGAAGUUGCUUUUUUUAAUCCUUUCCAAAUGUGUAGGUUGCACUACCAAAGUCAUCAACCUCAAAGGCGUGUCAGGAGUUACCACCUCCAACUCCAACCGCUUCAUCUGCUCGAUCAAUGGCGGUUGAGUAACCAUAAACAUCACUAAGUUUUUCGUCGAUUUCUGACUUAGCGUAUCAACCACCAUGUUAGCCUUGCCCGGGUGGUAAAGAAUCGUCAGAUUAUAAUCCUUGAGUAGCUCCAACAAUCUGCGCUGCCUCAAGUUCAACUCCUUCUGAGUAAAUAAGUACUUUAAGCUCUUGUGAUUCGUAUAUACUUCACAUCCCUCGCCAUAAAGAUAAUGGCGCCAUAGAUUCAAUGCAAAGACUACGUGUAAUAUACGAAAAAUUUCGGGUUGUGAUGCUAACUUUCAUCUGGAAGAUCAAAGUGAAGUUUGAAUUGGAUGUGUAUCAUUCUUGAGUGAUUUUGGACGUGUGGGAAUGAUUUCUGGAGGUAAUUGAGUAUUCGGGCACAAAUCGGGCGCGAAAUAAACUUGAAAGGGGAUUUUCGGAUUAUGACGCUAACUUUGGCCUAUGCGAUCAAAGAGAGGUAUGAAUGUUAAUUGUAGUACCUCCGAAUUAUUUUGGAAGUGCGAGGAUAGUUAAGGGCAGAUUUCAGAGAUGCUUGGAUGUAAAAUGUCGGAUUUUUAUUACAUUGCUAAUUUUGAUCAAAUUGAUCAAAGUAAGGCCAAAAUAAAAUUAGUUGCUUCCGAGCUUAAUUAGUAGCUUCGGCGUAGUGUUUUGUGUAUUUUGGAGGUGUUGGAGUGGACUUGGAGUGAAUUGGAUGCGCGGAGUAGGCUUCAAAUUGCUGCUGCCAGGUUAUUGUGUAGUGCAAGGACUGAAUUGCGAACCUGCAGGGACUGAAUUGUAAAUCUGCAGGUUGCAAUGCACUUUUGCAAUUUUCAGGGGCAAAACUGCAAUUUUUGGUCUUAUCCCUUUAACGCUGACGUUUAUCAUUUGUCUAGGGACCUAGCCUCCACUCCCCAGCCCUCUUUAACUUCUAAUUCUCCGUCACGUUCUCUCUCUAAAAUUUGGGUGAGGAUGGUGUAGUAGUGGCAGCUUGUGGGCUGAUGUUGUGAGGCCUAUCCGAGCAUAGGGACCAGCUGAGAAAGAGCUGGAGCUCAAGGUAAAUGAUAACUAGCUCAGUCCAAAUGAAGGUUAUGGCCUAAAAGAAGCUUUUGAAUAGUUAAAAUGAUAGGUGUAUGCAUAGAAAUUUCAGAAUAAGCUGAAAUAAGGAGAGGAAGCAUGCAACUGUUAGUGUUGGAGCGUUUGUUGAUCCGAACUGAAAGGAUGGCAGCAGGUGCAGAAAUUCUUGUGGCUAGAGUAUAUAAUUAAGGUAAGCUUGGGUUCAUGUUUGAUUAGAAGCCAGCUAGUUGCCUUAAGGAUAAUUUACCUAAGUGUUUCCUGCUGCGAGUGAUGGCAGAUUUGGACUCCGAACUAAUUGGAGCUGUCGAGUUGGAGAUUUAGCUGAAAGAAAUAAUUUGGAGCUGAGAAAUCUCUUGAGGAAGCUUCAAGUCCAGGUAAUUUUGAUACUUGAUUCCUGAUUUAAAUAUGGGUAACUGCUUCAAAGAGGAUUUUAAGUAAUUAAAGCUUAAGAGAGGAGUAGUUGGCAGAUUUUGAGAGAUGUGGGUUAUGAAGUGUAUUCAAGUAAGUAAACCUAGCUGGGGAAGUAAGUGAUUGCUUCUCAUCUAGGAUAAUUGCAAUUAUUUAAAGGAAACCCUUAAAUGGUGCAAUUGGGAUGUAUGCAGAUAUUCAAGUAGAAGGGUUGAGGAAGUUGCGUUGGUGAAUCUGGCGCCCACCUUGAAGAGGAUUGGUGGAACACUUGGGUAAUCCGAGCUGAGAAGAAAAUCUGGAGUAAUUCCAGCAGAGGAAAUCUAAAAAUUAGAGUAAGUAUUUUGCUUCUCUGUUAAACUUAGUAUAGUUACUCAGGAAAAAUGUUCUAACUGAGUUAAAUGAACAUAGGAUUACCAAGAAUUAAAGAGAAAUUGGGAAAGUAUUUCUUGAUAUUCUAAGUUGAGAGGAAACUCAGCUAAGUGUAGCUUGGAGAAUCUUUGAGGUCAGGUAGAAAUGAGGUUUAAUUCUAUUUUGAGUUAUAAUUGAUUAUUAGAGCAUUGAGACAAGGUAAAUUUGAAUCAAUUUUAAUUAAAGCUAACUGGAUUGAUGUAAAUUAUGAUGUAAAGAAAUGCUUGAUGUAGGAAAGUAGGAACAGAGGUAUUAAAGUACUAAAUCAUUUAGAUACUAUGAACCUUGAGAAACUAGUUCUAAAUAAAGAGAUGUAUAUAUAUAUAUAUAUAUAUAUAUGAUUAGUUGUUGGAAGACAAAAGCUAAGCUGAACCAUGCUAAACUCUUCUUCAAGUUGAUGUUAUUGUUCCCUGAUUCCUGAGUACUAAAGUUUAGAAUUGAUAAGAAGUUUAAUAAUGAAACUAUAUAUAUAUAUAUAUAUAUAUAUAUAUAUAUAUAUAUAUGAGGGCAGUAUAUACAUAUAUACGAGUAAGGGUUGAAAAGCAAGUUUUAUUAAAGUAUGAAUAUGACUCUAGUCUAACCUCUUUUAUUCUUCUAGAAAUGAAGGUUAGACAUGCUCGGAAGUCCAAAUUGACAUUCAGACAGAUUUGUGUAGCACUAAUUACGGUAGAAGCCGUUCUAGCCCUACUUGCGCCGAGUCGCAGGAGCUUGUUAUUGAUAUAGUUCGAGACGUUGGUUUCCGUUUAUUGGCAUCCCUACAGGUGGGUGGUGCUAUCCGAAAUCUUCGAAUCCCUCUUUAUGUCUAUGUCAUCUCAUUGAGCAUAUCUAUAUAUGUGAAUUGUAUCAUAUUCAUGCAUUAUAGGGAAAUCGUCAUUAUGCAAUUGAAUUUCUAUCAAGGUAAAGAACAUGUGGACAAUAGAAUAUGGACAUAGAACCCUAUGAAUGUGUGAAUGAGUAAAGGACUAUGACAAUAGUAAACUUGGUGACAUUAUGACUAGAGAUUUAGUUAUCAUCGACAUUUGAAUUAUAAAACUAGCAUAAAGAGCUAGUUAGAGUUAAAGUGUAGUAUUGUCUUUCAUUGGAUCUUCUAAAGGAAGAUCAGAUCAUACUCACAUCAGUUUUAUAUUCAAGAAAGGUCGAUCCUCCUUGAACGAUGAGCUCCAGAGUAGUCAUCUUAACUGGACCAGGAGCUAGCGUCUCCCCCAGUUGACAGUCCCGUCGGGAUGUAGCUUACCUCUCCUCGAUACUUGGGAUAUCGUCGGUGAGUUAUUGUUAACCAAAGGGUUAACCAGUUUGAUUGGGUAACAUCAUUAGAAGCAUGCAUGCAUAUUUAUCAGUUAUCAUAUAUUGUUUCUUUCAGCUUUGUACAGGCAUUGUAGUAGUUACAUGUUAUAGUUGGUUACUAUCUGUUUACUUUUCUUGCCUACAUAUGCCUGAAUAGACUUAGUGGGUGAGUCGGCGAGGUCGGCGGCCGAACCCACUGGAAACUUUUAGUAGUUCUCACACCACUAACCAUACAGGUUCUAGCUCAUGCGGGAUGAUCGAGGAUCGUGGUAUGGACAGCGUUCCAUAGAUAGUCGACAUCCAUUGAGUAUAGUUGUACCUUAUUUAUUUCAUUUAUUUAUAGUUGAUGAAAACAAAUGUAAAUUAUUCAUUGAGAGAUGGCAAUGUAUAUAUUGGAAAAAUGAAUGUAAUAAUUAUGUAAGCUUUGUGUUUGAUUUAAGGGAAUCAAGAUAUAAUGUAUGAAUGCUUUAGUUAUUUACUUUCACUUGCUUGUGUUGCUUGCCCUCGUGCAAGCCAUGUAUAUUGAAAUUUUUUCUGGGCAUUUCUUUAUACAUGUUUGUUGUUGUUGUUGACCCUUGGGCGAACAGAGGAGGUUCUGUUAGUUCGGCGUCUGUAUACGGGCCCAAAUCGACCAAAUUGGCGAUUGCGAGACGUGACACUACGGCCGCCAAUUCCAAAUCAUGUGUAGGAUAAUUCCUCUCUUAAUCCCUUAAUUAGCGAGAAGCAUACGCGAUCACUUUUCUGUCCAGCAUCAAAACACAGCCCAAUCCAUUAAAUGAAGCAUCGCUAUAAAUCACAUACCCUGCUCCAGCAAUUGGCAAGGUUAGGAUCGGGGCGGUCGUCAAUCUCUGCUUUAACUCUUGAAAGCUUCUUUCACACGCAUUGUUUCAAAUGAACUUGGUACCUUUAUGCGUGAGCCUCAUGAGGGGAGUAGGUAACUUUGCAAACCCCUCAACAAAUCGUUGGUAGUAGCCGGCCAAACCAAUAAAACUCCGUAUCUCGGUAACACUCGUCGGCUUCGGCCAAUCCUUGAUUGCCUCGAUCUUCCUAGGAUCCACGGCUAUGCCUGAUCCUGAAACCAAAUGGCCCAAAAAUGCCACCUCUCUAAGCCAAAACUUAUAUUUUUUCAACUUGGCAAAGAGCUUCUUUUCCCCAAGCACUUGAAGUACUAGUCUCAUGUGUUUCUCGUGAUCCGCAUCACUUCGGUAAUAGACCAAUAUGUCGUCGAUGAACACCACAACGAAUCUGUCUAGGUAAGGCUUAAAAACACGGUUCAUUAGAUCCAUAAAAGCUGCCGGGGCAUCAAUAAGCCCAAACGGCAUAACAGUAAACUCGUAAUGUCCAUACCGUGUUCUAAAAGCCAUCUUCGACACAUCCUCAGGCUUGAUUUUUAACUGGUGGUAUCCCGACUGAAAAUCGAUCUUGGAGUACACACUAGAUUCCUGGAGCUGAUAAAAAAGAUCAUCGAUCCUCGGCAACGGAUACUUGUUCUUAAUCGUGACUUUAUUAAGUUUACGAUAAUCCACGCACAAGCGAAGUGAUCAGUCAUUUUUCUUAACAAAUAGAACCGGUGCUCUCCAAGGUGAAACUGUAAGGAAGUGAAUUCUCAAAAUCCGAGGAUUAGACUUUGUUUAGAAUCGACCAAUUGUCAAGUGUGUAGGCUUCAGAGAGUCCGAAGAUGAUUAAAAUGCAUAAAGUGCAUUAAGGAAGAGUCCGCGAGAGCAUCAGUGCAAAAUCUGCACUAGAGAAGAAUUUGCUCUCGGGGACCGGUCCCUGGCAGGGAGGGAUCGGUCCCAUCGGCUGGUGUGGCGGGGAUCCUUGAUGCAACCGGUCCCUUGCAAGGAGGGACCGGUCCCCAAACGUUAACCCAGCGAGAAAAGCCAAAAUUUGGCUAAGUUUCGAAAAUCCAACUCUCGGGAAUCGGUCUCUGUCAUACCACGGGACUCAGCGGAAGCCCGCCCGGCACGUGCACAGACCCGCCAUACGUCUAAAAUAUAUAAGGCGUCUAAAACAAAACGAUAAAUGAGACAAUAAAAGAAAGCAUCUAGAAGUAUCAGAGUAAUACACAUCAUCUAGUGACUAAAGCAAUGGAAAGAGUAGAGAGCUAAAAUAAAUAAAUAACCCAUAAAGUAGUACAACCAAAGAUCCAAAAGGUACAAUAUAUCACCAGUAAUCCAAUCCUAUGGAAGCUACCCGUAGGUAGUCCGACCUGCGUCGUGCCAACAAUGGCCCCGUGGUAGUCAACAUCCCCACUCUAGGAAUGAGCCUCCCCCACGGCAUCCUAUUUUGGCGCCCAAUCCCGCACGGACGAGCAUAUGUCGCGAUGGCUAUCUCCGGAGUGCCGACUUGUAAGGAGCGACCCUCAUAAGUAUGUGCGAAUGAGCACAAUUGCAUGCAAGCAAAUAAGUCCGUCCAAAGUCCCAGUGGUUCAUCACUGUUUCAUUGAAUUAAAAAUCCGGAAUACAGCACAUGUCCCAAAGGCCUGCCUCUAUGUCAUCGUGUCUAAAACACGAAAUAUAGUAACUGUCUCAAUGGCCUAUCUCUAUGUCGUCAUGUCUAAAACAUGGAAUAUAGUAGAUGCCUAUCAUCAUGUCUAUAAGUUGUAGUUCAACAAUUUUCUAGUUCAAAUGCCCCUUUAUGACACUUUUGCUUACUAUGUCCCAAUAUGAAUAAUAAGUCUAAAAGCUUGUCAUUCUAAUCAUUUUCCACACAAGAAAUAUGAUCUUACAUCAUUCAUUAGAACAUUAAACUCAUGCAUGCUCACAAUGCAUAUGCUUCUCUCUACAACAUAGAGUCAAUUUUUCAUGAUGCAUAACAUAGGGGUUUUAAGCGUUCUAAAAUUCAUAUAAAUUCUAUUAAACAUGGAUAUACAUGCAUUUAUAUUAUACGAAAAUAUUUAACCACGUAGGAGGCAUUUCCCCCUAUUUCAAUGAAGCCAAACCCACCAAAGUCUUCGCGGCGCGUCGUAACCUCCGAUGAAGUUGCCCACUACUCUCCUAGCACCCUCAAGGUAUAGAAAUGAGAGUUAAACGGACCCUACGAACAAAGCUAAGCUCAAACAUUAAGCUAUCCAAGCUAAGGUGGAGAAAUCUCACCGUACACGAAGGAAUCUCUCUCGAUCUCCAAAAGGGAGCUAAAGUCCUUCAAAUCCAACCUAAAUCAAAGUUCUAAACCAAUCAAUUUGGUUCUAGAAGCUACAAAUCCAAAAUCCCUAUUUCUAACCCUAAAAUUCAAAAUCUAGGGUUUCAUCAUGUGAAAUCUACUAAAACAUGAUCUAAAGGAGAGAUCAAGCAUACUCACCUCUCUUGAUGUCCCAAACCUAGCUAGGAAGGUGCUAGGGUUGAAGUUCUCCCUCCAAACAAGCUCCAACAAAAACCUCCAAGCUUCUCCAAUGGAGGAAAUCCAACAUGAGGCAAGGAGAAGGAGAAAAGAGAGAUCAAAACCAUAAAAACCAAGCCAAAAUGGGGUAAAAUCCAAAGAAGAGGCCCUCACCUGGUUCCUCCACGAAUUAGAGCUCAAAAGGGCUCUCUAAGGGGGUUGGGGUCACCUAUAUAGGUAUUGUAACAAUUGCAAAAACACCCCUGCCCGAAAAUUGCUCGCACUACACUGUGUACCGGUACACGGGCUCGCGUACCGGUACAACACCUGUGAAACAACCAAACCCGAGCCUCGGGUUUGCACGAAAUCCGUCUGUGUACCGGUACACCAGCCUUGUACCGGUACAGCCAUCAGCGCGUACCGGUACACAGCCCUGCUGAGGCUACUCGAGAGCUGACCAAAAAUCCGACUUUUCGGGUUUUGGUGCUAAGUUUUAAACCUCCAAUCUCGGGGUUCGAACCAUGGGUCGGAACACUAUCCACGACCCUCCACGAAGUGUGGAAAAGUUCGGAACACAAAUCAAACACUCGAACCUCACUAUUUGCGACGGUUCAGUGUGUUACAGUCUCUCAGGCAAGGACCGGUCUCCCUGGGACCUGCCUCUCAGGCUGAGACCGGUUCCCGAACGCAAAAUUCCCUCUGCCUGAAUGGGAGGCUCUCCGGGACCGGUCUCCCCGACCUAGGACCGGUCCCUCACUGCGGGAAAUGCCCAGGCAGAGCUGUUUUAUAGAUAGAAAGUUGAGGGGCUUAUUUGCAAAAUAGCCUAUAUGAGAGGCUAGGGGACCACUCCUCACCCUCACUCUCUCAUUUCCCUCUCCCACACUCUCACCCUUUUCUCCCUCUCUCUCUCUAGAAAGAAAAGAAUGAGAGGAAGAAGAAGAAGGAGAAGAAGAGAAAGAGGAAGGAGAAGACUAAGAAGAAGAAGAAAAGGAUCAUCUUCUUCUCUCUCUCUCUCUCCCUCAAGCUUGGAGCUUGGUUUUGAGGUAAGCCCUCAACCCUACCAUGGUAGAUUUCUUGAGUUAGGGUUUUAUAGGUUGGAAAUGGUUCGAAUGGAACCUAUUGAAGGUAAGGAGAUGGUUCGAGCUCGAAUUUGAAGCUUUAACCACCGAUUCCUCCAUUGUUGCCAACCUAGGGCACGGAUUUGGAAUUUUUAGAAAUCUAGGGUUUUGAUCUCGUUUAAUGGGUCGUUAACCUAAUUGCUACGUCUUCGAACACGUAGGCAAAGACGGUUCGUCGAUACGACGAGCGAGUGUGAAGAUAUCGCCGAAAUGAUUACUUGAGGGUUCGUGUCGACCCGAGGAGUUGAAGCGACGUACGAGGAACGCGGCGUCGAGUUUACUAGCUACACGGCACUACCAAAAGGUGGGGUGUGCCAUCCCGAAGCAGUUGAACUGCUCCCUAUGUCUAAGUCAUCAUGUUCAUCAAGUGCAUAUUGUAUUAUUGCAUUAUAAGGUGCUGAAUGUAAUUGUUACAUUUUAUUGCAUGCUAGAGUUAGCUUAGCUUUGUGGAUAUAGCGUUGAACCUAGUAUGCAUGAGUUGAACAAGAGAUAGUUAACCCUAUAUGUGAUGAACGUGUUAUGUGAAUGAGAACCUAGUAUGGAUUGAAUAGUAUAUGAGAACAUUGAACCUUGACGAGUGGCAUCUAGUUAAUGUUAACCUGUAAUGAGUGGCAUCUAGUUAAUGUUAACCUAUAGUGAAUAGCUAUGAGAACCUUAGUGUGGUUGGUAACACUAGAGUGAUGAGUAUGAUAUUUGCUCGUAUACAUGAUGAUACUAUCCUUAGUUGAUAGGGUGUUCCCAGUUUAUGAGGAUUUGGAUCGAGCUCACAUAGCCUGUCUGCGCUUGUGGUGGUAGCUCCACGCAGGUAUUGCACUCCGGAGGUUGUCACACGAGGGGGGCCAGUGUAGUUGCCCUUGGACCAUUGUAGCUGUCCGCAGGCAGUCUCGGGGGUAAACGAGUAGUUAGCCUCCUCCCCUAUGAGACUUACACACGUGAGACUAUGAGCAAGCCUUGAGUUCGCCGAGAGAUUGGGUAACCGGACGAGUCACAUUAUUGUUGUGCAUAGUAUUUGGUUACUUAGCCUUGCCUUAUGACACAUGCAUGCAUCAUUUCAGAUUGAGGCAUAGUGAGAUGUUCAUUUCAUAUACCUGCCUGUUUAUUAUAGAUGCUUUCAAUUCAGCAAAAUAUCUAUCUAUCUGUAUAUCUAUAUGUGCCUGCUUAGACCUAGUGGGGAGAUCGGCGGAGUCGGCGGCCGAACCAACUGGGAACUAUGGAAGAUAGUUCUCACCCCGCUCUUCACAGGUUCGAGUUCGAGUACCCCCGGCGAAGAUCGCGGCAAGGGCGUAGCGCCCUAGUGGUAUUAGUAGAGGUUUACUUUCCUUUAUACAUUAGCUACUCCCUGUACUUAUGUUGAGAGUAGAUGUUGUAUAGGGUGAGGUUUUGAGAGGAUUGUAUUUGUAUAUUAUCAUAUUUUGGGAAAAGACUGUAAGGGUUGUAAUUAAAUGUAUUAAGUUGAAUGAAUGUAAUAAAAUAGUUAAGUAUCUCUCUUUUAAUCACUUAUAUAGUUGUAUUACUCGUGAUACUUGCUCUCGUAUUGUCUAGCACUGUUUGUGCUUUCGUUGUUGUUGUAUGAUUGUGUAUGUAUUCAAGUUGUUUUCCUAUGAACUUGUUGUACACAAUCUCGUCAUUUGAGUCUUGGGCUGACAGAGGAGGUGCUGUCCAUUCGGCGUUCGUUUGCCGCGCCCGAACCGAACCAAAUUGGUAUCGGCCUCGGGGCAGGGGCGUGACAGAAACACUCAGCCGCACAAAAUCGUUGUCCAAAAGAUCUUGCAACUGUGCCCUCAGUUUUUUCAACUCAGCUGGUGCCAUCCUAUAGGGCGCUUUUGAGAUUGGAGUAGUCCCGGGGACGAGAUCUACCACAAACUCAAUCUCCCUAUCAGGUGGCAUUCCUAGAAACUCUGCUGGAAACACAUCUCCAAACUCCCGCACUACGGAAUGUCCUCAAUCCUAGGGGCGUCGGCGUCACCCCUCAACACCAUAGUAGCCAAGUAGGCUAUACAACCUCUGCUAAUCAACUGCCUAACUCGAGAGGAGCUAAUCAUCAUCGCAAACAGCGAACUCUGGCACCCACGGUAUACAACCUCCUACUGCCCCGGCUCUCUAAAAGUGUAACAUACCGAACUUCUAAAAUCAUGAAGUCACGGUGUACAUUUAAAUGGUUCCGGUGAAGUUGUCGUGGAAUGUAACAUACUGAAUUUUAAAUGUAAAAGUAUAAAUAAAUAAAAAUAAUAUGAGAUACUAUUUUAUUCGAUUUAGAGAAGUGAAAUAUAGGUUGGGAAUGACCUGUGCUGAAAUCGGAGUAAAAAUAGAAAAUUUAGAAUUUUCUGUGUGAAACGGGGCAGAUAAAUUAGCAGAAAAUGCACAGUGUCAGAAAAUUAUGAAAACUGGAGGAUAAGUCAGAAUUAUUUUUAUGAGGCUAGAUUUAAAGUUUCAUAUCAUUCUGACACCCGGAAGGUGGAAAAUAAAAUCGAACUGCUAUCUGCUAAAGAUUACAGUUCGGCACAGCUUUCGGUAACCAAACGAAGUCGAAACUGAGAACUUAAGAUAUAUUCUUACUCAGUAUGUAAAAUCGAACAUGACUGUCAAAUUUGAGCUCAAACGGAUGUUCAGGGAGCUCUGGCGAAAGAUAUCAGAUUUCGAAUUGCCUGGAGUGAAUAGUGGAUAGUUAAGGGGCUAAGUUGUAAAAGAGCAUUGCUCUUCUUCUCCCUCAACCGUGCAGCCACACACACAUGCGCCACACACACACACUCACACACGCAUGGAAAGGGAGAGAGAAAACUUCCCUUUCUCUCUCUAAAUCCCUCCCAAAGUUGGUGGCUUUGGUAGAGAUUGAAGCUUGGAGGUGAAUCGCCUUCGUCUUCUUCAUCUUUUCCAUGGUUUGGAGCUAAUUUUGAGUUGAGCUUCUUGAGCCCUCUCAUGGUAGAUCUCUAGGAUUAGCUUUAUAUGCUCUAGAGAUGGAUUUAGUAGCAUUCCUAGAUGCUGAUUAGAUGUUUUAUUGCUUGAAUCCAAGAUUAUAUUGUGUAUUCUUGCAAUAGUUGAAACCUAGGAUUCAAAAUGCAAUUUUUGUAAAUGGAUGGGUUUGAUCUAAAUUGAACCUAUAUAAACUUAAUCGCUAGGUAAACGAACACGUUUGCGAAGACAGUUCGGCGAUUCGUCGAGCCGUUACAAAGAUAUUGAAGAAACUGACGAUUUAGCUUCGUUUCCGCCUGGAGAGCCGAGGCGGCGUCCAUAAAUCACGGGGUUGGAUUCUGAGGGUCGUAGCAAGAAACCGAAGACCUAUAAUUACCGGAUCGUGGAUCGGAGAUCGUUCGGUGGUCGUGCGCGGAUUGGGUCAAGCCGAGCGGCGUGCGCCGCGGGAGGCCGAUUGCGAGUGACGACGAGCAAUCGGAAUGCGGUAAAAGGUGGGGGGUGUCAUCCCAAAGCAAUCGGGCUUCUCCCUAUGUCUAAGUAUCUCUAUGUUGAUCAAUUAUGCAUAUCGAGCUUUGCAUUAUAGGGUGCUAGAUGAUAAAUGUAUAUACAUAUAUAUAUAUAUUCUUGCAGGCUAGUAGAGUAGUGUAAAGUUGAAUUGCUUAAAUACUUGUACCUAGUAUGCAUGUGAUUGGGACAUAGUGUUGUGAAACCCUAUAAUGACAAGAUUAAUAUGGAUAGACUCUAGUUGAAUGAACACCUAGUCAUUGUAUACAAUUAGAGUAUUGAGAACGAGUGGCAUGUAAACAAUGAUCAUAACAAUAACGAGUGGCAUUGGAACCUAGUUAUGAUAUUGCAUGAGAAUCUAGUGUAGUUGACACUUAUAGCAUUGAACAUAGGGAAUAGGUGCAUUUCCCUAGUUUGUGGCAUAUUGCAUGAAAUGAUAUAUUGCAUGGGUGAAUUUCCCUAGUUGUGAUUCGGGUAGAAAACCUAAAGUUUUAUGUUGAUAACCCUAGAUAGUAGGGUAUUCCAUGUUUCCAGUUCAUGAGAUUGGAUCGAGCUCACAUAGCCUGUCUGCACCUGUGGUGGUCGCUCCACACAGGUAGUGCACUUCGGAGUUUGGCACGCGAGGGGGCCAGUGUAGUUGCCCUUGGACCAGUGUAGUGUCCGCAGGCGGUCUCGGGGUAGGUGAAUAGCUAGCCACCUCCCUAGGAGACUUACAGACGUGAGACUGUGCGCGAGCCUCGAGUUCGCCGAGAGAUUGGGUAACCUGAUGAGUUACGGUAUUAUUGUGUAUAAUAGCUUGGCACUUAGCCUUAGCCUUAUUGAUGAACCUAGUAGUAUGAUAAUUAGCCUCCACUAUGAGUUGCAUCGACAUUGAGUAUAGUUGCUUGGUAGUCAGAGUAGUGGAUUUGCCUACAUACAGUGAGUGGACAUACUAUUCUUUCACCUAUGAGAUUUGAGCGAGGUAGCCCUGUACCUAGUCGAGAUUGAGUCGGACCUUCAAGAUGUGAGUCGGGUGAGGAGUGGGGUAGCUCUGUCACGCCCCGGAACCGGCGGAGGCCCUCCCGGUAGCCUGCCCAGACCCGCCAUAUGUCCACACAUAUAAGGCGUCUAAAAUAAAAGCGGAAGUAAAAGCAAGAAUUACAACGACUAGGAAUGAAUAAUAUCUAAUGAUAUCAGAGCGAGUAAAGUUCUAUCAUCUAAACCAUAGUAAAAGGAACAUAACUUGACAAUGAAAGUAAAGUAUAAAGUGAUACAAUGCUAUCUCCUCAAAAGGAAUACAAAGAUCCAAAAGAAGGGUGGUCUCUAUACAUAUACGGGUACAGCUCUCAACCUCUCACAAAAUAAAAUAACGAGAGGUAGACCACCUAUCAAAUCGUCCUCGAAGGAAGCUAGCUCGAAGCAACUCCCUUCCCGCGGUCCCUAGCCUCUCCCGGCGUGGAAGGCUCUGAAAAACAUUAAGAAAAUGAGGGCGUGAGAACUAUAAUUUAUAGUUCCCAGUGGGCAAUUACUGACCUCAGCUCAAUGCACCACUAGACCCCAGAAGAAAUGGGUAAGCACGGUAAACAACAAUGAUGAUAAAGAUAACUGCGGUAUGAAAGUAUGCAUGUUUACUAAGCUUACAAUACCAUAAACAUUACAAUGUCAAUGUUUUACAUUUACUCUUUCAUAAUAAAGAAUGUUCAAUGCACAAGUAAUAUGUCUCAACAUGGCCACAGGUAAUUGUCACGGUCCACUUUAUGAAGUUAUAAAGAUCAUACUUUAUCAUGGCGACAAUGUAUAUAUGGAUAUAAUAAACAACAUCUCCUAGCAUACUACAUGUAUGUAUGAAUACUCUAAUGUCCAACACUAUGCUAGAAGCAAGUUCACGUGACCCAACUACUACUCUCUAUCCAGUAGUGAUUAUAAUACACACAACACUGUGUCGAUUUUCAUUUCCAAUUAAGGACCUACCCAAGGUAAUCUAGCUUGUGUUCUCUAAGUGUCUGUGGUAGCCCAACAUCCCUACUCUUGGAAUGUGUCUGUCCCACUCGACCCCGUAGGCAUCUCAAUACCGCACGAGCGAACAUAAGUCGCGUAGGCUAACUCCGGAGUACCGGCUUGUAAGGAGCGACCCUCACAAGCAUAUGCGAAUGAGCACAAAUGGCAAGCAAGCGUAGUCAAGGCUCAAGUAAUCCAACCCUCAUGUCUCAAACAUGGCAAUAGCUACUAAUACCCCAACGGUAUAGCUCUAUGUCACAAUGUGAUAGCUCAACACUCACUUGCUUAGUGCCUCUUCAUGACACUUAAGCACCACAACUAAUCAGGUCCAAAUCAUGUUCUAUGUUCCAAUUAAGACAUUAAUACCAUUGUUCACUCUAUCCCGGGCCCAAUGCCUCUUUAUGACAUUGGCCCAAUUUCUCAAAUAGUCUAAGUCCCCAAGCCUCUCUAGGCUUCCAAGUCCCUAAUGUCACAAUUAGGCAUAAGGUUAAAUACAAGAAAGCAAUGUUCAUUUUCAUCAUAGGAAUCAAGGUUUCAAGUUCCCACUAGAAUGCUAUGUCCCACAUGCAUGUAUCCUACCACAUAGGGGUCCAAACAUUCACUAUACAUAACAUAUGCAUGUUAAGCAUUCUAAAAUUCAUAAUAAAUAUAUCUAACAUGAUUAUGCAUGCUUUUUUAAUUAACGAUACUCAAAUCUUCACAAAUGAGAUUUUCUCAUUGUGGGGCUAGGUCAAACCCACCGAACCGUCGCGUAAUCCCUCAAUUCGCCAAACGGAGUUGUCCACGAGUCUCAAAAUACCCUAAAAGCAUUGAGCGAAGAGAUACACGGGCAUUACGAUCAACUAUAAGAUCAAACAUUAACAACCAAGGCAAAAGGGCUAAAACUCACCUAAUGAGUGGAGAAUCUCUCUCAAGCUCCAAAAGAAGGCUAGGAUCCUUCCAAGACAACCUAAUCCAAGCUUCUAAUCUCAUUAGAUUAGCUAAAAAAGCCUCCAAGCAAAAAGCCCCAAAUAAACCCUAGAUUUCCCAUUCUAGGGUUUCAUCCCCCAAAAUCUACCAAAGCUAGGUCUAGAGGGAAGAAACAAACAACCAACCUCAAGAGAACUCCAUUCCAAGCUCCAAGGGUGAAGAUAUUCUCUCUUGCAAGCUCCAAGUCCAAGCUCCAAGCACCAAGAAGGAAGAGAGGGUGAGGAAGAUGCUCCAAGUCCACUAGUUGCUCUCAAUCUUCUUCUUCUUCCUGCCUUCUUCUCCUCCUCCCUCUUCUUCUUCUCUAUCAAGGGCGUAGAGAGGGUUGAGGGAAGAGAAAUGAGGAGAAGAGAGAGUGGAUUGGCCAUAUAGACCAUCUAUUGCAACAAAAUCCAGCUAGGUUCCUCAAAAAUCCAAAAUUGCAUCAGCCCGGUCUGGGCAAUUUUCGCCCAGAGGGACCAGUCUCUCCCUGCGCGGGACCGGUCUCUCGCUGCGAACCCGAAAAAUCAACGUUCGGGAGCCGGUCUCUCCCUGCGCGAGACCGGUCUCUCACCGCGAAGACGCGCUCGGGGACCGGUCUCGCCCGCCAGAGACCGGUUGCCUCAGGGCUGCCACGACACUGCUCACUCGGGGACCGGUCUCUCCUCUCAGGGACCGGUCCCCGAGAGUGAAAACUCUCAGGACUUGUCCAGAACUCAGAUUUUCGAACUUUUUGGAUCGGAAAACAUUCUACGACCCUCCACUAAGUGUGGAAAAGCUCGAAACACAUCCAAUCACUCGAACCUCACAAUUUGCAAAGGUCCAGUGUGUUACAAGCUCUUUGCCUAGGACUUUCGAGAUUGGAUCGGACCUUCGAGAUAUGAGUCGGGCAAGGAGCGGGGUAACUCUUUGUCUAGGACCCUUGAGAUAUGAGUUAGGCGGAAAAAGAGCGGGGUAGCUCUUCACCUCCUAGAUUUGAGACCUUAGGCAAGUCGGCCUAGUUGAUUGGGUAGUAACAUGAAUUGCAUAAGUGGAUUGCAUUCAUACCAUGAUUUGACAUAGUAGAUCGCAUAACUAUGUUGUAGUUGUAUUCAUUACAUUGUUAAAGCAUGCUAGCAUGAUAGGAGGUUAUUGCUAGAUGAUGUUCCAUGCAUUCCUUGCAUUUGAUGGCAUAGUAGAUAUAGUAGCAGUUAUUUCUAUCUAUCUUUCUAUCUAUCUAUCUGUGCCAGCAUGGACCUAGUGGGAAGAUCGGCGGAGUCGGCGGCCGAACCGACUGGGAACUAUAUUUAUAUAGUUCUCACCCCGUGUGGUUUUGGGGUACAGGUACACACGAGAACGGACCGGCAGAUGAUCGUGGCAAGGGCUUAGCGCCGUAGUGCUAGUUGGUAGAUGCUUUCCUAUUGCAUUAGUUGUCACCCUAUGUACUUGAGAGUAAAUGAUGCAUAGGUGUGAGACUAUUUUGGAAAAUGUAAACUUAAGUUUAUGCUUUGGAUGAAUGUAAAGCUAAGUUGAAAUCAAAUGUAUUAAAGUUGAGUGGAUGUAAAAGCUUAGUAUCUCUCUUUUAUUCACUUGUUUAUUACUUGUGAUGCUUGCUCUUGAUUGUUUAGCACUGGUUGUGCUCUCGUCGCUGUUGUUGUAUGAUUGUGUAUGUAAUCAAGUUGUUUUCCUGGGAACUUGUUGUACACAAUCUCGUUUGAGCCUUGGGCGGACAGGGGAGGUGCUGUCCGUUCGGCGGUCCACCCGCCGUGCCCGAACCGUGCCAAAUGGGUAGCUUCCUCGGGGCGGGGGCGUGACAAAAAGUCACCGUUCAAUUCUUGCAAUCGAUAGUGGCGAAGUACUUGGUUAACCAAUCCAUACCCAAGACAACAUCAAACUCUCCGAGUUUUUGCAAAGCUAGCAAAUCCACGGGCAUUAUCCAAUCUUCUACCCGAACAGGGCAACUGGGGCAAAACUCCCUAAUAUCCAAGGAGUGGUCGGGGACAACAACACGUCCCGGAUGCAACAAGGAAACAAAGGGGAUGCCAUGCAACUCGGCAAACAGCCGAUCUAUGAAUGAAUGCGAUGCAUUGGUAUCAAAUAAUGCACGAACUCGAAUGCCAUUUAAUAAAAUGAUAUCUGCAAUCACAUUCUUGGCUGCUGCCGCCUCCUCGGUCUGAGCCGCAUACAUGCGCCCGCUCUGGGCCUGUCGUGACCCCUCCGCCUGCCUCGGAACUGGUGGCCGGCCGGCCUGGUAGUGAGCACAAGGCAUCCCCUGGCCGGGACCCGGUGAAGCUGGGGCUGAUGCCGAUGAUGGCGCUAGCGCUGGACCCCUCGGGCAGUCCGACUGGAAGUGGCCCUACUGGCCACACAAGUAACACCUACCCCGACUGCGUGGGCACUGCCGUGGUUGAUGAGAACCACUGCAGAUCAUAGAGCACGGAGCCUGUCGACGGUCCGAUCCUCCACACUGGGUAGAUGAGCCACGUCCUCGCGACUGGCUCCAACUCCUCGAGUGUCUCGGCGGCCUCCCAGAGUGCGUCUGGCUCGCACCCUCAACCACGGGCUUUUUGCCCUUACCCUUAUCAAGCCCUCAUGGCGCUCCUGCAAAUCCGCCGCGCUGCUCUCCACAAUGAGUACGCGGUUCACCACAUCUCGGUAGGUCUGGAGGUUGGAGGAUUGCACAAGCCGAAAGAUCGUCGGCCGAAGUCCUCGCUUGAAGAUGCGGGCGAUGUCCUCGUCGUCCCGCACGACAAAAGGUACACAAUGCAAAAGCCGAGAGAACUCCCUCUCGUACUUGGCCACAGUUCUCUCCCCCUCACGCAAGCUGCGCAAAUCCUGCUCCAUCUUUCUCUUGACACUGUCGGGGAAGUAGUGAGCCAGAAGAAACUCCUUGAACUUCCUCCAUGUGAUAGCUGCAAGGUCGGUGUUGGGGUUAUCCUGGAUAUCCAACCACCAACUGUAGUCCUCGCCGUCCAAGUGGUGUGUGGCGAGCCAAACUCUAUCCCUCUCCUGCACGAAGGUGUCGCGGAAUAGUUUCUCCAUGUGCAUCAACCACUUCUCUACAAUCUAGUGGUCGACCUUCUCUCCAUCGAAGAUCCUAGGAUUAUACCUCCUGAACUCGUUGAGGCGAUCCAUGAGUCGAUCCCGCUCGGCUCCCUCAACCAUCACAGGAAAACUGCCCCCGCCAAAGGCACCUGAGCUGGUGGUGCCACAAUAUCCUCCUCCCGAGGUGCCACCGCAGGGGCUGUCCGAGAAAUGCCGAGUGCAGGGGACGACACCCUAGGCGCAACCACCUCUACCGGCGCGGGUGGUAUAGGGACCUGAGCCUCCCUGGCUGCCGCCUGCUGCAGCAAAAGGUCCUCCAGGUGCUUCAUCUGAGCCUCCUACCGGCGUGCCGCAUCUGCCUGCUGCUGAGCUGCCGCCGCCUGCUGCGCGACCAAGUCAGUGAGGGCCACAAGCUGGCUCUUCAACUCACAGACCUCGCCGGAUUCGGAGGUAACGGAGGUCUCCACCUCCUCAAGAUUCGCCGCAUUGUCCGCUCCAACAGACUUAAAGCGUGUCGUCGGUAUUAUCACUAGCAACAUCAUAAAAGCGCAAAUUAGUAAAACCCACGCUAUUGCAACCCCGCUCAACAAAUAAGUACCCAAAUCAUGCGAAAAUAAGAAAGUGUUCUUUACUACUAACUCCCGAUGUUACGUUGUCGGCCGCCAACGUAACCCUCCGCGAAGUUAGAAGCUAUAUACUUCAAUUCAACUCCAACUUUUUAGACUUAUAAUAAAACCCAAUCAUAAUACUUUCACUUACAAAUCAAAUAGAUCUCGUCUCUCACGAGCCUAUUUCUUAUAGUCCAACCGGCCUAAUGUUUGCUAGGUCCACUAAGACUCAACCCUAGGCUCUGAUACCAAAUUAAUCUGUCACGCCCGGGACCGGCGGAGGCCCACCCGGUAGCAUGCCCACACCCGCCAUAUGCCUGCACAUAUAAGGCGUUUACAACAAUAGCAAUGAAUAAAGAAAAGAUAAUAAAUAUUUAAGGAUAUCAGAGCAUGUGUACAACUAACAUCUAUCAACAAGUAGAAGCAGUAAAACUAUCAACUGAGAUAAAACAUAGGGUGAAUACAUCAAACUGUUUCAAAAGCAAGUACUACAAUAUCCAAGAUGGUAGUCUCUAUGUAGAGUACAAACGCUCUCAUUCUCUCCAACUAAAAUAAAAAGGAGAAAAUAAUCCACCUAGCAAGACCCCUCGCUCGCUAGCUCGAAACGACACCCUUGCCGCGGUCCCUAGCCUCUCCUGGAGUGGAAGGCUUUGAAAGAAAAUAUAAAAUAGGGGGCGUGAGAACUAUAAUUUAUAGUUCCUAGUGGGCAAUUACUGACAUGAGCAAAAUGCACCACUAGACCCAAAAGCAUAAGUAGAUAAAAGAACUACUAGUAAGCUGCGAUAUAUAAAGCAUGUAAUGAAAUGCUGAUCUACAAUGCCACAAAUAUACAUGAUGUCAACUAGGUGUACAUCUACUCUAUCAUAGUCCGAUAUGCCAAUACAUGACUAGUAUGUUCCAACAUGGCAAACAAGUAUGCUAUAAUGCAAUAAGCAAUACUAUCAAGUACACUACAUGUCCAAGUGCCCAAUAAAUUCAACUACUAUGAACUGUCUAGUAGUGAUUAUUACUUAUAUGACUAGGUGUCGAUUUCUAUUUUCAAUUAAGGACCUACAUGUCCAAGUGCCCAAUAAAUUCAACUACUAUGAACUGUCUAGUAGUGAUUAUUACUUAUAUGACUAGGUGUCGAUUUCCAUUUUGAAUUAAGGACCUACACAAGGUAGUCCGGCUUGUGCCGCCUAAGUGCCCCUGGUAGCUCCAGCAUUCCCACUCGAGGAAUGAGUCUAUCC